This 460-nucleotide ribosomal RNA is filed under the name uncultured bacterium. RNAcentral describes it as "partial 16S ribosomal RNA". It matches the Rfam family "Bacterial small subunit ribosomal RNA", at positions 338 to 795 of the family's 1533-position model. The record is from RNAcentral.
CCUACGGGAGGCAGCAGUGAGGAAUAUUGGUCAAUGGCCGGAAGGCUGAACCAGCCAUGCCGCGUGAAGGUCAGUGCCCUAUGGGCGUUAAACUUCUUUUGUGCGGGAGCAAUAAUGGUCACGUGUGGCCAGACGAGAGUACCGUACGAAUAAGCAUCGGCUAACUCCGUGCCAGCAGCCGCGGUAAUACGGGGGAUGCAAGCGUUAUCCGGAUUUAUUGGGUUUAAGGGGUGCGUAGGCUGUGAGGUAAGUCAGCGGUGAAAUGCCCCCGCUCAACGGGGUGAAGUGCCAUUGAUACUGCCUGGCUGGAAUGCGGAUGCGGUGGGAGGAAUGUGUGGUGUAGCGGUGAAAUGCAUAGAUAUCACACAGAACACCGAUUGCGAAGGCAUCUCACGAAGCCGCGAUUGACGCUGAUGCACGAAAGCGUGGGUAUCAAACAGGAUUAGAUACCCUUGUAGUC